AGUGAACGCUGGCGGCAGGCCUAACACAUGCAAGUCGAGCGGCAGCGCGUCCGACCACCCUCGGGUGGUCGGAUGGCGGCGAGCGGCGGACGGGUGAGGAAUGCAUCGGAAUCUGCCUCGUUGUGGGGGAUAACGUAGGGAAACUUACGCUAAUACCGCAUACGACCUACGGGUGAAAGUGGGGGACCUUCGGGCCUCACGCGAUGAGAUGAGCCGAUGCCGGAUUAGCUAGUUGGCGGGGUAAAGGCCCACCAAGGCGACGAUCCGUAGCUGGUCUGAGAGGAUGAUCAGCCACACUGGGACUGAGACACGGCCCAGACUCCUACGGGAGGCAGCAGUGGGGAAUUUUGGACAAUGGGCGCAAGCCUGAUCCAGCCAUGCCGCGUGAGUGAAGAAGGCCU
RNAcentral lists this ribosomal RNA (401 nucleotides) under uncultured bacterium. RNAcentral describes it as "bacterial SSU rRNA". It matches the Rfam family "Bacterial small subunit ribosomal RNA", at positions 30 to 417 of the family's 1533-position model. The record is from RNAcentral.